Molecule: long non-coding RNA, 4866 nt
Filed under: Podarcis lilfordi (Lilford's wall lizard)
Lineage: Eukaryota; Metazoa; Chordata; Lepidosauria; Squamata; Lacertidae
Rfam family: tRNA (bases 4378-4441)
Source: RNAcentral
AGAAGAGCCUUUUGGAUCAGGCCCAUUGGCCCAUCUGCUUCGUGAUCCUGGUCUCACAGUGGCCAAUCAGAGGCCCAUGGGGGGUGCCCAAAAGCAAGACCUGAACACCACAGGUCUCUCCCCUCCUCAUGCUUCCAGCAAAUGGUACUAGCUCUGAGAAAACAACUCGAGUACAGCAGCCACUCAUUGGAUUCUUACAAAUGGACCAGGUAGCAGUUCAACUUAGGUAAAAGAAAGGUAAAGGACCCUUGGACAGUUAAGUCCAGUCAAAGGCAACUAUGGGGUUGCAGCGCUCAUCUCGCUUCAGGCCGAGGGAGCCGGCGUUUGUCCACAGACAGCUUUCUGGGUCAUGUGGCCAGCAUGACUAAACCACUUCUGGUGCAAUGGAACACCAUGAUGGAAACCAGAAAGCACAGAAAUACUGCUUACCUUCCUGCCGUAGUGAUACCUAUUUAUCUACUCACACUGGUGUGCUUUCAAACUGCUAGGUUGGCAGGAGCUGGGGCAGAGCAACGGGAGCUCACCCCAUGGCAGAGAUUCGAACCGCCGACCUUCCAAUCGGCAAACCCAAGAGACUCAGUGAUUUAGACUACAGUUAUACCAACAAGGGCCCUUAUUCAACCUUUCCCCUCCCUUAAGCUGUACUUUCUAUAGUAAAACGAUCUUGGAAGCAAUGUACUGUUUGCCUGACAGUGUGUAACUAGGAAAACAACAAGUACUUUGGGGAUUUGUGCCUUUAAAAAAAAUCCAUGGAAGCUGGAAGACUUAUCAGAAAAAUGCUCAUGCAAACAGGGUGAGAAAGUAAAUGAUGUCUUUGCACAUAUUGCCCUCUGGUGGCUGACUUUGGGAUCGGGGAAAAGCCACACAGGGACUUUGACCUGUAUGAAGUAUUUUUUUUAAUCUGUCCUGAAUUUCCCAACAUUCAUGUUCCAUCAAUAUGCGGAUGAUACCCAGCUCUACCUCUUUUCAAAUCAGAACCAGUGAAGGUGGUGAAGGUCCUGUGUGAGUGUCUGGAGGCGGUUGGAGGAUGGAUGGUGGCUAACAGAUUGAGGUUGAAUCCUGACAAGACAGAAGUACUGUUCUUGGGGGACAGGAGGCGGGCAGGUGUGGAGAACUCCCUGGUCCUGAAUGGGGUAACUGUGCCCCUGAAGGACCAGGUGCGCAGCCUGGGAGUCAUUCUGGACUCACAGCUGUCCAUUGAGGCACAGGUCAAUUCUGUGUCCAGGGCAGCUCCAUCUGGUACGCAGGCUGAGACCCUACCUGCUCAUGGACUGUCUCGCCAGAGUGGUGUAUGCUCUGGUUAUCUCCUGCUUGGACUACUGCCAUGCGCUCUACGUGUGGCUACCUUUGAAGGUGACUCAGAAACUGUAACUAAUUCAGCGUGCGGCAGCUAAACUGGUGACUGGGAGCGGCCGCCGAGACCACAUAACACCGGUCUUGAAAGACCUAUAUUGGCUCCCAGUACGUUUCCGAGCACAAUUCAAAGUGUUGGUGCUGACCUUUAAAGCCCUAAACGGCCUUGGUCCAGUAUACCUGAAGGAGCGUCUCCACCCCCAUCAUUCUGCCCAGACACUGAGGUCCAACUCUAAGGGCCUUCUGGCAGUGCCACUCUGGCGAGACAGUCCGCGGGCACGUAGGGUCUCAGCCUGCGUGCCUGAUGGAGCUGGUAGACAGCUGCCCUCACUCCGAGAAGCCAAGUUAAAGGGAACCAAGCAGAGGGCCUUCUCGGUAGUGGCACCCACCCUGUGGAACACCCUCCCACCAGAUGUCAAAGAGAACAACAACUACCAGACUUUUAGACGACAUCUGAAGGCAGCCGUUUAAGGAAGCUUUUAAUGUUUGAGGCAUGACUGUAUUUUAAUAUUUUGUUGGAAGCUGCCCAGAGUGGCUGGGGAAACCCAGCCAGAUGGGCGGGGUAUAAGUAAUAAAUUAUUAUUAUUAUUAUAUUAUUAUUAUUCAGCUCACUUGGAUGCCCACGACUCCUAGUCUUAUGAGAAAUGCAUUUCUGUUUCUGCUUUCUCCAUGCUAUGCAAAAUUCUAUAAACUUCUAUCAUGCUGCCUCUUCUCCAGAGUCUAAGGGGAGCCCCUUCACCCUAGCUCCAUAGAAGUGAAUGGUCACGUUUGUUCAUUCAUAUAUGUGGAGAGAAAGUAGCAGCUAACAGAAAGUAGGGGUGUAAGAAGGCGUUGCUUUCUGCUCCACCCUGUAUUCGUGUCCCAUGCAGUACUCUUUCUGUUCUGCUGCAAUUCACCUUCUGCCCAAAGAAUCAGCUGUGCUGAAAUUACAUUGUGCCUUAAACAAUGUCAUCAUUACAUCAUCAAUUCUGCAAAUUCCUUUCUUGCUGCAUUAUUUUGUCUGUUUUAUAUUGUGUACAGUCAAACUUUGGUUCCUGAACUCCUCCAUUUUGGAACGUUUCGGCUCCUGAAAACCUGGAAGUAACUGCUCCAGUUUUCAAACGAUUUUCAGAAGCCGAACAGCUUCCGAGCCACAAUUUUCAUUUCCCCCUGUUGACUUUGCAGCUAUCCCAUUGAUCCUCGGUUUUCAAACUUUUCGGAAGCCGAACAGUCUUCCGGAAUGGAUUAAGUUCGAAAACCUAGGUUCCACUGUGUUGAAAUCUACAGAUGGAAGGGUGACAUACAAAUUUAAUAAAUAAUGAAAUAAUAACUCCACCACAUUCAUUUCAGUGCAAAGGAAACACAAUGCAAACGUGUAUGUGACCAAUUACAUAGCAUCUGCAAACCAAAAGCGACAGCCGCAGCAUAUUUGCUGGAUCGAUUUCUGUUGCGGAUAAGAGGCUAAUAAGUGAACGUUGGCAAUUUCUGCUCCCGUUUCUAUUAACCGCCAGAAUUCCCCAACGUCCCUAGGGAAAAGAAUGGUGAAAAUUAGAAAAACGGGGUGUGAGAAUUGGGAAGCGGGUCCUGUCCUCCUAACCCUUAAAGGAUUAUCCAGAUUGGACUGGGAGCCCUGGAAUUCUGCUGCCCUACUAGUUUGACUGUCCCUUCGUGAAGAUCUAUCAGGGAUGGAGACUCUAAAACCGGGGGGAAGGGAAAUGUAAAGAAACUGAAGGUACAUUUUUUCACCUUUGGUGGACGUGCCCAAAGAUUAAGGCUUUCUGGGAAAUGAUAUAUAAUGAAUUGAAAAAUGUAUUUAAGUAUACCUUCCCUAAGAAACCAGAGGCCUUUCUCCUGGGCAUAGUCGGCCAAAUGGUGUUAAAAAAGGAUAGAACUUUCUUUAUGUAUGCAACAACAGCAGCAAGAAUACUCAUCGCAAAGUAUUGGAAGACACAAGAACUUCCCACGCUGGAGGAAUGGCAGAUGAAACUUAUGGACUAUAUGGAACUGGCUGAAAUGACUGGUAGAAUCCGUGACCAGGGAGAAGAGUCGAUGGAGGAAGACUGGAAGAAAUUUAAAGACUAUCUUCAGAAACACUGUAAAAUUAAGGAAUGUUAGAGUGAUGUUGGACUGAAAACAAGUGGUUUCCAGCUGCACAGGUUAAAGUUAAGGAUAGAUUAAGAUUAAAGAUCAAGAUUAAAGAUGUUUAAAGAAAUGGAAAUUUGAUAUUAAAAGGGAAAAUUUUAAAGUUAUAUGAUAUUAAGAUCAAGGAUUAGGUUUAAAAAAAGUUGAAGUUAUAUAUUUUAAUAUUUUAUUAAAUUAAAGAUUGGGAUUAAAAAAGUGGAAAAGAAACUGCUGGACAAAUAAUGUGGACUGGAAUACAAAAGAGGGAGGUUUGAGGAAGUCUAGAAAAUAAGUAAUUUAAAAUUGGAAAUGAAAAAGAGAGUUUGUUUUUAAUUGUUGUGUUUUGUGUUUUUAUUGUUAAGUUUUGUAUUGUUUUUUGUGUGUGUUGUUUUUCUUGUUUUCUUGUUUUAAACUUUAAUAAAAAAUUAUUAAUAAAAUAAAAUAAAAUAAAACCGGGGGGAAGGGGCAAACAUGGCCCUCUGGACUUCUCUAUCUAUCCCGUGGGACUCUCCCCAAACCAUACCCCUCUCUGCAGGUCAUAUCCCUCCCCAGCUCCACCCCACACCCUCAUUGAGUUUCUGCCUGGCUGGAAUGUGUCCCUGACUCAGAUGAUGGCUCUUAGCCACCUGGGUGUACAGAGAGUUGUGUGAGGGUAGGCAGGAACUGGCUUACCAUACAAGGGUAACGUUCAUAUUUAUUGCUCUGCCACCGCUAGCAUGUGGCCCUUGAAAGGGUGGUCAGAAGGGAAUGUGGCCCUCAGCCAGAAAACGGUUCCCCAUCCCCGCCUGAGAGGAAAGAUGGAAAACAAUACAGGACUCUUGGAUCGUCUGGAUGGAAAACAGAGGAGUGUGUGUUUUGUAGAAAUUAGCCUACUGUAGAAAGGGUAGAUUUCCAUUCAUUUGCCAGCUGACAACUGUUGGGGUAGCUCAGUUGGUUGCGCAUGAGUCUCUUAAUUUCAGAAUCGUGGGUUUGAGCCCCACACUGGGCAGAAGAUUUCUGCAUUGCAUGGGGUUGGACUAGAUGACCCUCGGGGUCCCUUCCAACUCUACAACUAUAUGAUUCUAUGAUUUGCCUCCACCUGUUCCCCAAAAGACGCCCAGAAGAGCACAUUUUCCUAGCUUGAAUCAGCACUGCAGAAAUCCAAACCGAUUCUGUCAGUUUUAUUUCUCAACAUGACUGUUUAGGAAAGCUGCUGAAUUUGGGGGUUUUGAACCGGGAGAAUGGAAACAAGAGGACAGCGUCGAAGCACGGAAUUGAAAACUUGAAAGGGCUGCCUUUAAAAUACAUUGACCAGCGAAUCUUUCCUUCCUUUCUUGUUUUGUAAAAGACUCAAACAGAUUUCAAAAGCAGAACUUGCAAAAUAUUGCCGAUUCAUGAAGCCAAAUGAAUUCUGACCAUUUGCCCAAUUUCAGC